GAUGAACGCUGGCGGCGUGCCUAAUACAUGCAAGUCGAACGAGGCCCUCUUCCUUCGGGAGGAGGUGUCCUAGUGGCGAACGGGUGAGUAACACGUUGGUGACCUACCCCGAAGAGGGGGACAACCCCGGGAAACUGGGGCUAAUACCCUAUGUGAUCCUAAGGAUUAGAUGCCUAAGGAUGAAAUGGAUGCUUGCACUCGCUUCGGGAGGGGCCUGCGGCCUAUCAGCUAGUUGGUGAGGUAAUGGCUCACCAAGGCGACGACGGGUAGGGGGCCUGAGAGGGUGGUCCCCCACACUGGAACUGAAACACGGACCAGACACCUACGGGUGGCAGCAGUAGGGAAUAUUGCACAAUGGGCGCGAGCCUGAUGCAGCAACGCCGCGUGCGCGAUGAAGGCCUUAGGGUUGUAAAGCGCUUUUCUGGGGGAAGAGAAAGGACGGUACCCCAGGAAUAAGUCUCGGCUAACUACGUGCCAGCAGCUGCGGUAAAACGUAGGAGGCGAGCGUUAUCCGGAUUUACUGGGCGUAAAGCGCGUGCAGGCGGUUUGGUAAGUCGGACGUGAAAGCUCCCGGCUCAACUGGGAGAGGUCGUUCGAAACUGCCAGACUAGAGGGCAGCAGAGGGAGGUGGAAUUCCGGGUGUAGCGGUGAAAUGCGUAGAUAUCCGGAGGAACACCAGUGGCGAAGGCGGCCUCCUGGACUGUCCCUGACGCUAAGACGCGAAAGCUAGGGUAGCAAACGGGAUUAGAGACCCCGGUAGUCCUAGCCGUAAACGAUGCACACUUGGUGUUGGUGGCGUAAGACCCAUCAGUGCCGCAGCUAACGCGAUAAGUGUGCCGCCUGGGGACUACGGUCGCAAGGCUAAAACUCAAAGGAAUUGACGG
RNAcentral lists this ribosomal RNA (884 nucleotides) under uncultured Chloroflexota bacterium. Its description in RNAcentral is "bacterial SSU rRNA". It matches the Rfam family "Bacterial small subunit ribosomal RNA", at positions 28 to 916 of the family's 1533-position model. The record is from RNAcentral. Lineage: Bacteria; Bacillati; Chloroflexota.